CGCACAAGCGGUGGAGCAUGUGGUUUAAUUCGAUGCAACGCGAAGAACCUUACCUACUCUUGACAUCCAGAGAACUUAGCAGAGAUGCUUUGGUGCCUUCGGGAACUCUGAGACAGGUGCUGCAUGGCUGUCGUCAGCUCGUGUUGUGAAAUGUUGGGUUAAGUCCCGCAACGAGCGCAACCCUUAUCCUUUGUUGCCAGCGGUUAGGCCGGGAACUCAAAGGAGACUGCCAGUGAUAAACUGGAGGAAGGUGGGGAUGACGUCAAGUCAUCAUGGCCCUUACGAGUAGGGCUACACACGUGCUACAAUGGCGCAUACAAAGAGAAGCGACCUCGCGAGAGCAAGCGGACCUCAUAAAGUGCGUCGUAGUCCGGAUUGGAGUCUGCAACUCGACUCCAUGAAGUCGGAAUCGCUAGUAAUCGUGGAUCAGAAUGCCACGGUGAAUACGUUCCCGGGCCUUGUACACACCGCCCGUCACACCAUGGGAGUGGGUUGCAAAAGAAGUAGGUAGCUUAACCUUCGGGAGGGCGCUUACCACUUUGUGAUUCAUGACUGGGGUGAAGUCGUAACAAGGUAACCGUAGGGGAACCUGCGGUUGGAUCACCUCCUUA
This 611-nucleotide ribosomal RNA is filed under the name Enterobacter hormaechei. RNAcentral's name for it is "bacterial SSU rRNA". It matches the Rfam family "Bacterial small subunit ribosomal RNA", at positions 922 to 1533 of the family's 1533-position model. RNAcentral also lists the same sequence under 1 other name. Lineage: Bacteria; Pseudomonadati; Pseudomonadota; Gammaproteobacteria; Enterobacterales; Enterobacteriaceae. The record is from RNAcentral.